AUACGUAGGUGGCAAGCGUUGUCCGGAAUUAUUGGGCGUAAAGCGCAUGUAGGCGGUUUGGUAAGUCGGUCGUGAAAAUGCGGUGCUUAACGCCGUAUGGCGAUUGAAACUGCUGAACUUGAGUGCAGGAGAGGAAAGGGGAACUCCCAGUGUAGCGGUGAAAUGCGUAGAUAUUGGGAAGACCACCGGUGGCGAAGGCGCCUUGCUGGCCUGUGCCGGACGCUCAGAUGCGAAAGCCAGGGUAGCUAACGGGAUUAGAUUCCCCGGUAGUCCUGGCCGUAAACGAUGGGUACUAGGUGGGGGAGGUAUCGACUCCUGCCGUGCCGGAGUUAACGCAAUAAGUACCCCGCCUGGGGAGUACGGCCGCAAGGCUUAAACUCAAAUGAAUUGACGGGG
This 396-nucleotide ribosomal RNA is filed under the name uncultured bacterium. Its description in RNAcentral is "partial 16S ribosomal RNA". It matches the Rfam family "Bacterial small subunit ribosomal RNA", at positions 523 to 918 of the family's 1533-position model. The record is from RNAcentral.